GCUUUCUCUUUCUCACCUAGACAGAGAAAUGCGUCUGCAGAGGAUAAUACACAACAUGGCCAAAGGUUUGAACAGCCCAAGGAGAGAGCACCAUUUGUAUAUUCUGCUACAAGGUGUUAUGAACAAUCUGCUUUAUGUAACCGAGACCGAGCAGUUAAUGCAUCCCAGCACAGAUCCAGAAGUACAAGACAGAGCCUUGCUGUGGGCUUGUGGUGACACCUGUCCCAGUCACGUGGUCAUUUGGGCUGUUGCAUCAUUCCCUUGCAUGGCAUGAGUUGCAGAAGCUGAUGUAUCUUAACCAUCCCAGCUUGAGAGGAUCUUUUUUUUAACCAGGAUUUCAAUUGCAGUUUUUGCUUGGAAGAGCAUGCAGUACAAAACACUGGAUCCUGAUCGUCAGGAAGCAAUACAUAGACUUUUUCUCCCAAGAGACUGAGUUCUCUUCCAGAAAACCAUGUCAACAUGUAAUUGACAUCGAUAGCACAAGAAGUAUGAUUGACUGACAGGAUUUAAUGGAAGAGAGCUGGAUAAGACCACAUAAGCUCUCAAUAGCACCAUUUUAAUUUCUUUCCUGAAGAUGGAGGAUAAGAAGGAACACUUUCUGCCAUCACUUCCCAAAGAAGUCACACCACCUACUUCAGUGAGAACAGCAAAAUCUUGUGGGAAGAGGGAGGUGUCAACAGGCUAAGACUUUUUUGUAUCACCGUUUCAUGGCCCUGGGCUCAGUGGAUUGAAGAAUACCCAAAGCCACCUCUAUCCUGGGUAAGUUCUGGUUUGGGGAUCUCAGCAUUUUAAUUACUAUCAUCCAGCAGCUUCAAAUGAUCCCUGUUAACUUUGCAUCAAUGUAAAUGUUCAUUUACAUUGUGAAAAUCAGGAGCCCGAUAAGCACCAUACAAAUAGGUUGUGGUAGUGCUGCUUCCAGGACUCAGUGAUCCAUAUCCCAGUGAUAAGGACGUGCUGAAGCUCUUUUUGUUUCUGACGUUGUAUGUGAACAGAGAGUGAUUAUUUCCAGUGUAUCUUAGAAUUGCCGAAGGUAUUAUUUGGGAUUAUUGCAGUGCAAGUGCUCUUUGCUCAGGUUUGCUUAGGUUCUUGGAAAAUACUAAAUGUUGCCUUCCUAAUGCCUGAUUAUAUCCUGCUGUAAUAAAUGUUAAAACAAAUGAAAAGUAAAGAUUACAGUAUACCAUGGUUGAACUCCUGAGAUGUAUUGAAACAGCACUUCAGCUUACACUUCAAUUUCCCACAAAUAGCUUCCUAUCUUGGGUGCCACACGUUUAGAAAAAAAAUAAGUUCCAGUUAGAUUGGAGAUGCAAGACUACCAAUAUGCUGCUAAAUUACUUACUAUUAUCUAUUUUUAUAUUGCAAGCCCUCUUGGCAAUCCAUGUUCUUUACAAAUUAAGCUGCACGGAGGUAUAGUUCUCAAUAGCAAUCAAGUUUCAGCACAAAAUGCCUUAUUUGCAUUUUUAUGGCUUAAAACUACUGACAUGAAAUGAUUUACUGUUUGUAGGUCGGGGGGAAGGCUACUGAGAAGCUUAUUGUUUGAUUUGGACUUUUUCAGUCUUUAUUGGCAGUGUUUGCUUCAAAAUGUUAAAUGUACAGUAAUGGGCUAUGUAAUUUAAAAUCGGUCUCAGUCACUAAAGUGUGCUAACAUAUUAUCAUCUAGGAAUCUUUAUAAUACGCAGGAUUUUGUCCAACAAAUGGCAUGAUGCUUCUUAAAUUACACCAACUAUAUUUCAAAAUCACCAAAGAUAGGAGAGGCUGAGAAGCAGAGGUCGCUAGGGGGAACUCAAACUGAAUCUUAAUUUCUUGAUGUAUUGAUAAAAUGGGGAAGGCUGCCAUGGCUCAGAAACACCACUGAUAGAUGGAUAGAGAUACAGGCCUGAUUCUCAGCGGGUAUGAAAUGCUUUUAAUGAAGCUGUGCCAUUUGGCUUCAAUGGAUGCCAGCAGAGCUGGGCCAUUUUAUGUCCCAUAAAAUGUGUCUAUAGUCAGAAGCAAAGACAGGCUGAAUUCAAGAAUGAGAAGGUUGUGGCUUUCUGAAAUAAGAUUUUUUUGCUGCAUUAUGAGGUGCUCAUUUGUAAAAUGGUUAUGCUGCCUUGCCUGUAUUGGCCAAAACUGGACCCUAUCAUAGAGAGAACUGCUGUUCUGCUGAUGAGAGUUUGGCUCCCGAAAAACUUUCACAGUUUAUGGUAGCUUUUUUUUUUUUUUUUAAACCCUGAUUUCUAUUCCCGAGUUUCUAAGACAUAUCUGGUUGCAUUACACCUUGUCAAAAUAUGAUAUGUGGCAUAAGUGGCACGCAGCUGAAAAUAACGGGGAAAAAUUUACCAGAUGCAACACAUGCUACCCUACCACAGCUGCUGAUCUUCAACAUGAUAGUGCAAUGUGGGAAAGCUAAUAGAUGCCCACAGCCUGGCAGUUCUUGCCUUGCACAGCACCACAAUUAGCAAGUGAAUGACAUUCCUCAAGUCUAAAUCAACAUGGCACAUGCCAUACACUUCUUAAAAAAACAAGUCUUAUUUUUAUCUUAUCAGAGUCAGUUCAAUAGAAAAGACUUUUUACCUUUAGCACAAGUCUCAUUUUACAGGUAUUCUUUUGGCUCUUUCUUGUCCUUUCAUCCUAUACAUUUGUGUUCUUUAUGCCCUGAAGGAAAUAGAUGAGAAAGACCUGUAGGAUGUGCACUGUGUUGCACAACGUGAGGGAGCAGGUCUCAGGUGAUAAAAUCUCCAGGAUGAAUAACCUUUUUACAAUGAGUGAAGCAUAUAAAAAAGUCUAGAGCUGGUUCUGAAUGUCUGUUGGAAUUGCUUGCCUAAGUCCAAUAAAACCUUUUACCUGGG
Long non-coding RNA from Alligator mississippiensis (American alligator), 2825 nucleotides. RefSeq lists it as uncharacterized. Lineage: Eukaryota; Metazoa; Chordata; Crocodylia; Alligatoridae. The transcript has 2 exons. The record is from RefSeq and is a predicted model, not a curated record.